Helianthus annuus (common sunflower) is the source of this 548-nucleotide long non-coding RNA. RefSeq lists it as uncharacterized. The record is from RefSeq and is a predicted model, not a curated record. NCBI's taxonomy places the organism in Eukaryota, Viridiplantae, Streptophyta, Magnoliopsida, Asterales, Asteraceae. The transcript has 4 exons.
AUCAUCUUCUUCCACUCCUUUCUUCCAGAUUUUUCUGCAACUCUCACUGAACGUAUGAAGCUUUGCAAGAUAAUCUUUCUACUUCUCCUCUGUCAUUAGGUAUUUCUGAUUCUGACUUCAUCCAGAUUAAGUACUUCAACAAUGGAUUUUGAGGCUCGGAUCGUUUGAACAUUCUCUAAAGUUCGCUAUUGUACUUUUAAGAUUCAUGAGAAAAUAGAAGACAGCUGGGAUGGGAAGAGAUAAUCAAGAAGGGUGGAUAUAUCAGCUUAUCCGGGAUCAGGUGCGAAUGAUCGUUAUAUGCUAAUGCCUUGACAAGGGAUCUGUUGAGUUUCACAUAACUUUAUAUAACUAAUACCUGGAAAAUAUUGAAUAUGCAACCAUCUAUGUACAUUCUAUCAAACACAUAAUAUACUUGGAUUUUCUUUUAUUGUAUGUGCCUAAAUAAUGGCUAACUUGGUUGUAUCUGGAGUUGAUAAUACUUUUGUUGAUUUACUACUUUGAGUACGUGAAUAUACGGUUUUGCCGCCGCAAAGCGCGGCAUGGCUAAA